Molecule: transfer RNA, 85 nt
Filed under: Utricularia gibba
Lineage: Eukaryota; Viridiplantae; Streptophyta; Magnoliopsida; Lamiales; Lentibulariaceae
Also listed under: 4 other names
Description: tRNA-Leu
Rfam family: tRNA
About the family: Transfer RNA (tRNA) molecules are approximately 80 nucleotides in length. Their secondary structure includes four short double-helical elements and three loops (D, anti-codon, and T loops).
Source: RNAcentral
GGGGAUAUGGCGAAAUCGGUAGACGCUGCGGACUUAAAAUCCGUUGACUUUUUAAAUCGUGAGGGUUCAAGUCCCUCUAUCCCCA